GACGAACGCUGGCGGCGUGCUUAACACAUGCAAGUCGAACGGAAAGGCCCUGCUUUUGUGGGGUGCUCGAUUGGCGAACGGGUGAGUAACACGUGAGUAACCUGCCCUUGACUUUGGGAUAACUUCAGGAAACUGGGGCUAAUACCGGAUAGGAGCUCCUGCUGCACGGUGGGGGAUGGAAAGAUUCGGCGGUUGGGGAUGGACUCGCGGCUUAUCAGCCUGUUGGUGGGGUAGUGGCUUACCAAGGCUUUGACGGGUAGCCGGCCUGGGAGGGUGACCGGCCACCUUGGGCCUGCGAGACGGACCAGAAUCCUACGGGAGGCAGCAGUGGGGAGUAUUGCACAGUGGGCGGAAGCCAGAUGCAGAAACGCCGCGUGCGGGAUGCCGGCCUUCGGGUUGUAAACCGCUUUCGCAUGUGCCGAAGCGUGAGUGACGGUAAUGGGUAAAGAAGCACCGGCUAACUACGUG
Molecule: ribosomal RNA, 468 nt
Filed under: uncultured bacterium
Lineage: Bacteria
Description: partial 16S ribosomal RNA
Rfam family: Bacterial small subunit ribosomal RNA
Source: RNAcentral